UGGCUCAGAACGAACGCUGGCGGCGUGGAUUAGGCAUGCAAGUCGAACGGGAUCUCAAAGCUCUGAAACUUCGGUCGAGGAAUUUUGAGUGAUAGUGGCGAACGGGUGAGUAAUGUAUGAGCAAUCUGCCCCUAAAUCUGGAAUAACUCUGCGAAAGUGGGGCUAAUACCGGAUGUGGUUGUUUUCCGGCAUCAGGAAACAAUUAAAGGUGGGGACCUUCGGGCCUGCUGUUUAGGGAGGAGCUCAUAUCCUAUUAGCUUGUUGGUGGGGUAAAAGCCCACCAAGGCUGUGAUGGGUAGCCGGCCUGAGAGGGUGACCGGCCACACUGGGACUGAGACACUGCCCAGACUCCUACGGGAGGCUGCAGUCGAGAAUCUUUCGCAAUGGGGGAAACCCUGACGAAGCGACGCCGCGUGAGCGAUGAAGGCCUUCGGGUUGUAAAGCUCUGUCGCCUGGGAAAAAUGGCCAGUAUGUUAAUACCAUCCUGGUUUGAUGUUACCAGGAAAGGAAGCCCCGGCUAACUCUGUGCCAGCAGCCGCGGUAAUACAGAGGGGGCAAGCGUUGUUCGGAUUUACCGGGCGUAAAGGGUGCGCAGGCGGCCUUAAAAGUCAGAUGUGAAAUCUUCCGGCUCACCCGGGAAACUGCAUCUGAAACUCUAAGGCUUGAGUAUGUGGGAAGAAAGUGGAAUUCUCGGUGUAGCGGUGGAAUGUGUAGAUAUCGAGAAGAACACCAGUGGCGAAGGCGGCUUUCUAUCACACUACUGACGCUCAUGCACGAAAGCUAGGGGAGCAAACGGGAUUAGAUACCCCGGUAGUCCUAGCCGUAAACGAUGUAUACUUGGUGUUAGGAGCAUCGACCCUUCUAGCGCCGAAGCUAACGCGUUAAGUAUACCGCCUGGGGAGUACGGCCGCAAGGCUAAAACUCAAAGAAAUUGACGGGGGCCCGCACAAGCGGUGGAGCAUGUGGUUUAAUACGACGCAACGCGUAGAACCUUACCAGGGCUUGACAUGUAUGUGACAGUCUAUGAAAGUAGAUCUUCCUUCGGGACAGAUACACAGGUGUUGCAUGGCUGUCGUCAGCUCGUGUCGUGAGAUGUUGGGUUAAGUCCCGCAACGAGCGCAACCCAUGUCCUUAGUUGCCAGCACGUAAUGGUGGGAACUCUAGGGAGACUGCCUCGGUCAACGGGGAGGAAGGUGUGGAUGACGUCAAGUCAGUACGGCCCUUACGCCCUGGGCUACACACGUGCUACAAUGGUCGGUACAAAGAGUCGCAAGACCGCAAGGUGGAGCUAAUCUCAAAAAGCCGAUCUCAGUUCGGAUUGGAGUCUGCAAUUCGACUCCAUGAAGCUGGAAUCGCUAGUAAUGGCGCAUCAGCUACGGCGCCGUGAAUACGUUCCCGGGCCUUGUACACACCGCCCGUCACAUCACCCGAGCUGGGUGCACCCGAAGUCGCUGUACCAACCCUUUUGGGAGGAAGGCGCCGAAGGUGUG
Molecule: ribosomal RNA, 1490 nt
Filed under: uncultured organism
Description: bacterial SSU rRNA
Rfam family: Bacterial small subunit ribosomal RNA
Source: RNAcentral